AUUGAACGCUGGCGGCAGGCCUAACACAUGCAAGUCGAGCGGAUGAAGGGAGCUUGCUCCUGGAUUCAGCGGCGGACGGGUGAGUAAUGCCUAGGAAUCUGCCUGGUAGUGGGGGAUAACGUCCGGAAACGGGCGCUAAUACCGCAUACGUCCUGAGGGAGAAAGUGGGGGAUCUUCGGACCUCACGCUAUCAGAUGAGCCUAGGUCGGAUUAGCUAGUUGGUGGGGUAAAGGCCUACCAAGGCGACGAUCCGUAACUGGUCUGAGAGGAUGAUCAGUCACACUGGAAAUAAGACCCGGUCCAGACCCCUAGGGGAGGAAGCAGGGGGGAAUUUUGGACAAGGGGCAAAAGCCUGACCCAGCCCUGCCGCGGGUUGAAAGAAGGUUUUGGGUUUGAAAACCAUUUUAAGUUGGGAGGAGGGGAAGAAAUUUAAACCCUUGUUUUUUGGACUUAACAAACAGAAGAACCCCCGGCUAAUGUCG
RNAcentral lists this ribosomal RNA (482 nucleotides) under uncultured bacterium. RNAcentral's name for it is "partial 16S ribosomal RNA". It matches the Rfam family "Bacterial small subunit ribosomal RNA", at positions 30 to 505 of the family's 1533-position model. The record is from RNAcentral.